Molecule: ribosomal RNA, 433 nt
Filed under: uncultured bacterium
Lineage: Bacteria
Description: partial 16S ribosomal RNA
Rfam family: Bacterial small subunit ribosomal RNA
Source: RNAcentral
AACGAACGCUGGCGGCAGGCCUAACACAUGCAAGUCGAGCGAGGACUUCGGUCCUAGCGGCGGACGGGUGAGUAACGCGUGGGAACGUGCCCUUUGCUUCGGAAUAGCCCUGGGAAACUGGGAGUAAUACCGGAUGAGCCCUUUGGGGGAAAGAUUUAUCGGCGAAGGAUCGGCCCGCGUUGGAUUAGGUAGUUGGUGUGGUAAUGGCCUACCAAGCCGACGAUCCAUAGCUGGUUUGAGAGGAUGAUCAGCCACACUGGGACUGAGACACGGCCCAGACUCCUACGGGAGGCAGCAGUGGGGAAUCUUAGACAAUGGGGGAAACCCUGAUCUAGCCAUGCCGCGUGAGCGAUGAAGGCCUUAGGGUUGUAAAGCUCUUUCAGCUGGGAAGAUAAUGACGGUACCAGCAGAAGAAGCCCCGGCUAACUCCGUG